AGUGAACGCUGGCGGUAUGCCUAACACAUGCAAGUCGAACGGCAGCACAGUAAGAGCUUGCUCUUACGGGUGGCGAGUGGCGGACGGGUGAGGAAUACAUCGGAAUCUACUUUUUCGUGGGGGAUAACGUAGGGAAACUUACGCUAAUACCGCAUACGACCUACGGGUUAAAGCAGGGGACCUUCGCACUUUGCGCGAUUGAAUGAGCCGAUGUCGGAUUAGCUAGUUGGCGGGGUAAAGGCCCACCAAGGCGACGAUCCGUAGCUGGUCUGAGAGGAUGAUCAGCCACACUGGAACUGAGACACGGUCCAGACUCCUACGGGAGGCAGCAGUGGGGAAUAUUGGACAAUGGGCGAAAGCCUGAUCCAGCCAUACCGCGUGAGUGAAGAAGGCCUUCGGGUUGUAAAGCCCUUUUGUUGGGAAAGAAAAGCAGCAGGUUAAUACCCCGCUGUUCUGACGGUACCCAAAGAAUAAGCACCGGCUAACUUCGUG
This 492-nucleotide ribosomal RNA is filed under the name uncultured bacterium. RNAcentral's name for it is "partial 16S ribosomal RNA". It matches the Rfam family "Bacterial small subunit ribosomal RNA", at positions 29 to 507 of the family's 1533-position model. The record is from RNAcentral.